Molecule: unclassified non-coding RNA, 390 nt
Filed under: soil metagenome
Description: partial contains 5.8S ribosomal RNA, internal transcribed spacer 2, and large subunit ribosomal RNA
Rfam family: 5.8S ribosomal RNA (bases 1-122)
Source: RNAcentral
GAUGAAGAACGUAGCGAAAUGCGAUACUUGGUGUGAAUUGCAGAAUCCCGUGAACCAUCGAGUCUUUGAACGCAAGUUGCGCCCGAAGCCAUUAGGCCGAGGGCACGCCUGCCUGGGCGUCACACGUCGUUGCCCCCCAUCUACUCCUUCGGGAUUGCGGGGGGCGGAUGAUGGCCUCCCGUGCGCCUCGUCGCGCGGUUGGCAUAAAUGCCAAGUCCUCGGCGACGCACGCCACGACAAUCGGUGGUUGCGAAACCUCGGUUGCCCGUCGUGUGCGGUCGUCGCGCAUCGAGGACUCGAAAAAAUUGCCGGGCUCCGGCUCGGCUUUCAACGCGACCCCAGGUCAGGCGGGGUUACCCGCUGAAUUUAAGCAUAUCAAUAAGCGGAGGA